GUCACUUUGCCGGAGUGGUUAACGGGAUCGCCUGCUAUAAGACAGAUCUCUAGAUUCUGCACAGUAGCAUCUAGCGGUUGCUCUUUGAGCGCGUGUGUUCGAAUCGCACAGGUGACG
This is a non-coding RNA of Marasmius sp. AFHP31, 117 nucleotides long. NCBI's taxonomy places the organism in Eukaryota, Fungi, Basidiomycota, Agaricomycetes, Agaricales, Marasmiaceae. The record is from the annotation of a GenBank genome assembly.